GAAAUUUCAUUCGCACUAGUGAUAGCUAGUUUCCCUGGAAAGAUAUAAAAGUGUGUUUGAAAGAUAUGAUUUAUAAUACUAAUUAUUAUAUAUUCAUGCGCUUUUUACUAAUUUUUUUGAGGAUAAGCUCAAAAAAAAGUGAAGAAUUUUUUAAUUGAAUUUACUAUAUGGGCUUGAGAUUGGCCACUAUAAAAGUUUUUUCCAAAAUAGUAACCUUAGUGUCAUAGAUAAAUAUAAUUUAGACUAACUUUUUACAGGGACAAAAACUUUAAUUUAAAUAAGUUUUAUGCCUAUGCUAGAAUGAGUAUUAAAACUUAAUUAUAAAAAGAUUUAUUCUUAUGUCUUCUUUAAAAAAAUUAAAUAAAACUAAUUAAUUAGAAGGAACUCGGCAAAUUUAGUUGUUUCGCCBGUUUAUCAAAAACAUGGCUCUUUGGUCAUACAAAUAUAAAGAGUCGGACCUGCCC
This 464-nucleotide ribosomal RNA is filed under the name Semisulcospira decipiens. RNAcentral's name for it is "partial 16S ribosomal RNA". Lineage: Eukaryota; Metazoa; Mollusca; Gastropoda; Semisulcospiridae. The record is from RNAcentral.